This 403-nucleotide ribosomal RNA is filed under the name uncultured bacterium. RNAcentral's name for it is "bacterial SSU rRNA". It matches the Rfam family "Bacterial small subunit ribosomal RNA", at positions 355 to 775 of the family's 1533-position model. The record is from RNAcentral.
UGGGGAAUAUUGCACAAUGGGCGAAAGUCUGAUGCAGCAACGCCGCGUGAGUGAUGACGGUCUUCGGAUUGUAAAGCUCUGUCUUUGGGGACGAUAAUGACGGUACCCAAGGAGGAAGCCACGGCUAACUACGUGCCAGCGGCCGCGGUAAUACGUAGGUGGCAAGCGUUGUCCGGAUUUACUGGGCGUAAAGGGUGCGUAGGCGGACCUUUAAGUGAGAUGUGAAAUCCCCGACCUUAACUUGGGGGCUGCAUUUCAAACUGGAGGUCUAGAGUGCAGGAGAGGAGAGUGGAAUUCCUAGUGUAGCGGUGAAAUGCGUAGAGAUUAGGAAGAACACCAGUGGCGAAGGCGACUCUCUGGACUGUAACUGACGCUGAGGCACGAAAGCGUGGGGAGCAAACAG